This 497-nucleotide ribosomal RNA is filed under the name uncultured bacterium. Its description in RNAcentral is "partial 16S ribosomal RNA". It matches the Rfam family "Bacterial small subunit ribosomal RNA", at positions 28 to 507 of the family's 1533-position model. The record is from RNAcentral.
GAUGAACGCUGGCGGCGUGCCUAAUACAUGCAAGUCGAGCGAACAGACCAGGAGUUUGCUCCUCUGACGUUAGCGGCGGACGGGUGAGGAACACGUGGAUAACCUACCUACUAGACUGGGAUAACUUCGGGAAACCGGAGCUAAUACCGGAUAAUAUAUUGAACCGCAUGGUGCAAUAGUGAAAGACGGUUUUGCUUUUAGUUAUAGAUGGAUCCGCGCCGCAUUAGCUAGUUGGUAAGGUAACGGCUUACCAAGGCAACGAUGCGUAGCCGACCUGAGAGGGUGAUCGGCCACACUGGAACUGAGACACGGUCCAGACUCCUACGGGAGGCAGCAGUAGGGAAUCUUCCGCAAUGGGCGAAAGCCUGACGGAGCAACGCCGCGUGAGUGAUGAAGGUCUUCGGAUCGUAAAACUCUGUUAUUAGGGAAGAACAAAUGUGUAAGUAACUAUGCACGUCUUGACGGUACCUAAUCAGAAAGCCACGGCUAACUACGUG